CGCGGCCUAUCAGCUUGUUGGUGAGGUAGCGGCUCACCAAGGCGACGACGGGUAGCCGGCCUGAGAGGGCGACCGGCCACACUGGGACUGAGACACGGCCCAGACUCCUACGGGAGGCAGCAGUGGGGAAUAUUGCACAAUGGGCGGAAGCCUGAUGCAGCGACGCUGCGUGAGGGAUGACGGCCUUCGGGUUGUAAACCUCUUUCAGCAGGGAAGAAGCGCAAGUGACGGUACCUGCAGAAGAAGCGCCGGCUAACUACGUGCCAGCAGCCGCGGUAAUACGUAGGGCGCAAGCGUUGUCCGGAAUUAUUGGGCGUAAAGAGCUCGUAGGCGGCUUGUCGCGUCGGAUGUGAAAGCCCGGGGCUUAACCCCGGGUCUGCAUUCGAUACGGGCAGGCUAGAGUUCGGUAGGGGAGAUCGGAAUUCCUGGUGUAGCGGUGAAAUGCGCAGAUAUCAGGAGGAACACCGGUGGCGAAGGCGGAUCUCUGGGCCGAUACUGACGCUGAGGAGCGAAAGCGUGGGGAGCGAACAGGAUUAGAUACCCUGGUAGUCCACGCCGUAAACGGUGGGAACUAGGUGUUGGCGACAUUCCACGUCGUCGGUGCCGCAGCUAACGCAUUAAGCUCCCCGCCUGGGGAGUACGG
Molecule: ribosomal RNA, 643 nt
Filed under: uncultured Actinomycetes bacterium
Lineage: Bacteria; Bacillati; Actinomycetota; Actinomycetes
Description: bacterial SSU rRNA
Rfam family: Bacterial small subunit ribosomal RNA
Source: RNAcentral